Molecule: long non-coding RNA, 855 nt
Organism: Anguilla anguilla (European eel)
Lineage: Eukaryota; Metazoa; Chordata; Actinopteri; Anguilliformes; Anguillidae
Exons: 3
Source: RefSeq, a predicted model, not a curated record
UUUGGUCAGUGAAAUUGUUCUCUCCCUCUUUUUGUCUAAUCGUUUUCAAUAUAGCACAAAAAACAUAAUGUGAAUGCGGGACUUUUAUUCUUCAUGGCAUGCAUAGCUAUUUCUGGCAUAAUGUGGCUUAAGAGGGUACAUAAUCCCUCUAAACAUGAAAAGCUUCUGGUUAAGAAAAAAAUGAACAGCUUGUUAAGAUUCUGAGAUUGCAAUUGCGUUUGGAAGGAAAGUCGACAUGCACGGGGUUCCCCAGGACCAAGUUCAACAACCACCAGCCCAUGUUAAUGUCAGUUUGUCCUCCUGCACCUGUGGGCCAGGUAGAGCACCUCCUGAGGAGCUGGAGCAGGAUGUGAGGUCAGAGACUUUCAAAAUGGCAGACUGCAUUGGGUGUGAUUGGGAGUGACUUAGCAGAAAGUAGCAGCAGAAGAGUUUUAUAUUUCCUCAAGCUCCAGUUUCUCUACCUGUGAGAAGUUCAAGACUCUUUACCUGUUGGAGUGCUUUACCUGCGCUGACCUAAAGCUCAACUGGAGUUUCUGCCUUGAGAACCUCGACUGGGGAAUACUCUCUCUUCAGCAGGUAAUCCACAUAGUUCGGAGUACCCAAUCGUUCCCCGGCUGCGGGUAUGCCCCCCCCCCCCUCCUCGCGUGGACGAGCCCACGCUCCCUCUCGUCAGCGGCUGAUUCCGAGGCUGAGCCCGCACGGGAAGGAAGUGGGGAAGUCUGAGGAAAGAAGCGCGUCACGUACCGCUCGAGCAAGCAGAUGGGGAGCGUCGGACCGAGCCCCUCCCUCCCUGGGUUGCUUCCCAGAGAUGAGAUUUCCAGAUCAGCACCUUGGAGAGCCACAGUGAUAGUCUUC